AUGGCCUGGUCCCCUCUCCUUCUCACCUUCAUCGCUCUCUGCACAGGAUCCUGGACCCAGUCUGCGACUCAGCCCCCCUCAGUGUCUGGGACCCUGGGCCAGACAGUCACCAUCUCCUGCUCUGGAAGCAGCUCCAACAUUGGGUAUAGUAGUAGUUAUGUGAGCUGGUACCAACAGAUCCCAGGAACAGCCCCCAAAACCCUCAUCUAUUAUGCCACUAGUAGAGUGUCCGGGGUCCCUGAUCGAUUCUCUGGCUCCAGAUCUGGCAACACAGCCACCCUGACCAUCACUGGGCUCCAGGCUGAGGACGAGGCUGAUUAUUACUGCUCAGCAGCAGACAGCAGCCUGAGGAGUGACACAGUGCUGCAGGCCCGUGGGGAACCUGUGCUGACUCAGUUGCCACCUGCAACUGCCUCCCUGGGAGCCUGGGCCGAGAUCACCUGCAUCCGGAGCAGGGAGCACAGCACCGACAGGUCUCCAUCGUAUCUGCAGCAGACGGGGAAGGUCCUCAGUUUGUGA
Equus quagga is the source of this 519-nucleotide non-coding RNA. The record is from the annotation of a RefSeq genome assembly. NCBI's taxonomy places the organism in Eukaryota, Metazoa, Chordata, Mammalia, Perissodactyla, Equidae.